GACGAACGCUGGCGGCGUGCUUAACACAUGCAAGUCGAACGGAAAGGCCCUGCUUUUGUGGGGUGCUCGAGUGGCGAACGGGUGAGUAACACGUGAGUAACCUGCCCUUGACUUUGGGAUAACUUCAGGAAACUGGGGCUAAUACCGGAUAGGAGCUCCUGCUGCAUGGUGGGGGUUGGAAAGUUUCGGCGGUUGGGGAUGGACUCGCGGCUUAUCAGCUUGCUGGUGGGGUAGUUGCUUACCAAGGCUUUGACGGGUAGCCGGCCUGAGAGGGUUACCGGGCCCAAUGGGCCUGAGAUACGGCCCAGAAUGGUACGGGAGGCAACGGUGGGGAGUUUGGCACAAUGGGCGGAAGCCUGAUGCAGCAACGCUGCGUGCGGGAUGACGGCCUACGGGUUGUAAACCGCUUUCGCCUGUGCCGAAGAGUGAGUGACGGUAAUGAGUAAAGAAGCACCGGCUAACUACGUG
RNAcentral lists this ribosomal RNA (468 nucleotides) under uncultured bacterium. RNAcentral's name for it is "partial 16S ribosomal RNA". It matches the Rfam family "Bacterial small subunit ribosomal RNA", at positions 28 to 507 of the family's 1533-position model. The record is from RNAcentral.